GACUCUUUGGCCGAGCGGUUAAGGCGCUUCCCUGCUAAAGUUUGCGUCAAGCUUUGUGAGGAAGUUCCCUCUGGGAGCACAGGUUCAAAUCCUGUAGGAGUCG
Thoreauomyces humboldtii is the source of this 103-nucleotide non-coding RNA. The record is from the annotation of a GenBank genome assembly. NCBI's taxonomy places the organism in Eukaryota, Fungi, Chytridiomycota, Chytridiomycetes, Spizellomycetales, Powellomycetaceae.